RNAcentral lists this ribosomal RNA (489 nucleotides) under uncultured bacterium. RNAcentral describes it as "partial 16S ribosomal RNA". It matches the Rfam family "Bacterial small subunit ribosomal RNA", at positions 30 to 506 of the family's 1533-position model. The record is from RNAcentral.
AUUGAACGCUGGCGGCAGGCCUAACACAUGCAAGUCGAACGGUAACAGGAAGAAGCUUGCUUCUUUGCUGACGAGUGGCGGACGGGUGAGUAAUGUCUGGGAAACUGCCUGAUGGAGGGGGAUAACUACUGGAAACGGUAGCUAAUACCGCAUAACGUCGCAAGACCAAAGUGGGGGACCUUCGGGCCUCUUGCCAUCGGAUGUGCCCAGAUGGGAUUAGCUAGUAGGUGGGGUAACGGCUCACCUAGUCGACGAUCCCUAGCUGGUCUGAGAGGAUGACCAGCCACACUGGAACUGAGACACGGUCCAGACUCCUACGGGAGGCAGCAGUGGGGAAUAUUGCACAAUGGGCGCAAGCCUGAUGCAGCCAUGCCGCGUGUAUGAAGAAGGCCUUCGGGUGGUAAAGUACUUUCAGCGGGGAGGAAGGGAGUAAAGUUAAGACCUUUGCUCAUUGACGUUACCCGCAGAAGAAGCACCGGCUAACUCCGU